AGACCCAUCGAAAGAGAAAAAGGGUCAGACGAAAGGAAGAAGAUGGAGACUGCGGCGAUUUUAGGAGGAGGGACUCCAUGUGUCUUCUCAUCUUCUUUACUUCACUUACCAGCGUCUUCAAACAGAACUGCGUGCAGCUUAUGGUGCGCCCCAAACAAGCUUAUACUAAGCACCUCCACCAGUCAACUAUCAGCAUUCCGUUCACAGUCCCAUCUUUUUUCAAAUUACCCGACUACUACUCCUCCUCCUCCUCCUCGUUCCAAAACCAGUGCCCGUAACUCCACCCAAACUGGCAUCUUCCUCCCCCACUUGGUCGCGUCCAUGGAGCAAGUGGAAGAGACCUACAUCAUGGUUAAGCCCGACGGUCUACAGCGUGGUCUUGUUGGAGAAAUAAUUUCAAGAUUUGAGAAGAAGGGGUUUAAACUGACUGGCUUGAAGCUCUUCCAGUGCCCCACAGAAUUGGCAGAGGAGCAUUAUAAGGAUCUCAAGUCCAAGCCAUUUUUCCCUAAACUGAUCGAGUAUAUUACAUCAGGCCCAGUUGUCUGUAUGGCUUGGGAGGGUGUUGGUGUUGUUGCCUCAGCGCGGAAGCUAAUAGGGUCUACAGAUCCUCUUAAAGCUGAACCAGGCACCAUACGAGGGGAUCUUGCUGUUCAAACGGGAAGGAAUGUGGUCCAUGGCAGUGACAGCCCUGAGAAUGGCAAGCGUGAAAUAGCUCUCUGGUUUAAAGAAGGUGAACUGUGUGAAUGGACACCAGCUCAGGCACCAUGGUUGAGAGAAUGAUCUUUCAGUGAUUCUUGAUCAGUAGUCAGGCUGAAAUUCUGGAGGUCUCUCUUUCUUCAAUAUUUUGUUGUACCUCAUUUUUUGCUACGUACAAAUUCAGUGGCCAAUUUAAAUCAUACAUUCACAAGUACUGUUAUACCGUAUAGAGGUUGAGAUUAUGGCAACUUUUGUAUUCUUGCAUUUUCUUGGGAGUUUAAUUCAAACACGCAGUCCAACAGUAGUAUUGUUUCCCUCCUCCUGUCUGGAAACAGUUUUUAGUUAGAAUUUGGGUUUGGAUUGAGAAGAUCAGAUUUGAAGAGGAUAGAUUCUGGUUGGUUCGGAUCUGAAUUUGGUGGUUCAAUAACUAGAAUUAUUGAUGAUGA
Molecule: non-coding RNA, 1142 nt
Organism: Carica papaya (papaya)
Lineage: Eukaryota; Viridiplantae; Streptophyta; Magnoliopsida; Brassicales; Caricaceae
Source: RefSeq, a predicted model, not a curated record